Molecule: non-coding RNA, 28 nt
Filed under: Bombyx mori (domestic silkworm)
Lineage: Eukaryota; Metazoa; Arthropoda; Insecta; Lepidoptera; Bombycidae
Source: RNAcentral
UAACAUGUAUGGGUUGUUUUGCAGUGUU